CCUACGGGGGGCAGCAGUGAGGAAUAUUGGUCAAUGGACGAGAGUCUGAACCAGCCAAGUAGCGUGAAGGAUGACUGCCCUAUGGGUUGUAAACUUCUUUUAUAUGGGAAUAAAAUGUUCCACGUGUGGGAUUUUGUAUGUACCAUAUGAAUAAGGAUCGGCUAAUUCCGUGCCAGCAGCCGCGGUAAUACGGAGGAUCCGAGCGUUAUCCGGAUUUAUUGGGUUUAAAGGGAGCGUAGGUGGAUUGUUAAGUCAGUUGUGAAAGUUUGCGGCUCAACCGUAAAAUUGCAGUUGAAACUGGCAGUCUUGAGUACAGUAGAGGUGGGCGGAAUUCGUGGUGUAGCGGUGAAAUGCUUAGAUAUCACGAAGAACUCCGAUUGCGAAGGCAGUUCACUGGACUGCAACUGACACUGAGGCUCGAAAGUGUGGGUAUCAAACAGGAUUAGAUACCCGGGUAGUC
RNAcentral lists this ribosomal RNA (460 nucleotides) under uncultured bacterium. RNAcentral's name for it is "partial 16S ribosomal RNA". It matches the Rfam family "Bacterial small subunit ribosomal RNA", at positions 338 to 795 of the family's 1533-position model. The record is from RNAcentral.